Molecule: long non-coding RNA, 5009 nt
Organism: Loxodonta africana (African savanna elephant)
Lineage: Eukaryota; Metazoa; Chordata; Mammalia; Proboscidea; Elephantidae
Exons: 3
Source: RefSeq, a predicted model, not a curated record
GGAGGGAGGGCGCGCAGGGGAGGGGGUGAGUCACGGCCGCGCCCCCUUUCGAGCCGGGCUGGAGGAGUUUGCUGGAGUCUCCGACUGAUUGCCCGCCCCGAGCGCGCCCCACACCUCGGCAACUCCGGGACUCCCUCUUCUUCGCCAAGCAGACGAAGAAGGGGUCUCACUCUAACUUUCCUUCCGGAGCUGGGCUACGAAGGCGGAGGUCAAGAUUCCAGAAGCCCCCCAAAUCCCCGGAAAGUGAAGCUCAAGUGCACAUGUUCCUCCACCAUGUAAAGACCCAAGGGUGAUAAAACGGGAGGAGAGUUGGAAGAGAGGUCUAGAUGGAGCAAAAAUGGGAAUUCUUAUUGAGGCAGGAGAUGCCAACAUAGUUUCAAGUGUCCACCUGGUCCAAGAAGCUCACUCCUCACCAGCAUCCCUCUGCAACCCACUGUCCAGUCCAAUCCACGUCUGAAGAGUUGACUUUGGGAAUGGUUCCUGUCCUGGGGCAGCAGAAGGUCUGGGGGCCAUGACCACCGGGGUCCUUCCAGCCUCAGUCAGACCAUUAAGUCUGGUCUUAUGAGAAUUUGGGGUCUGCAUCCCACUGCUCUCCUGCUCCCUCAGGGGUUCUCUGUUGUGUUCCCUGUCAAGGCGGUCAUCGGUUGUAGCCGGGCACCAUCUAGUCCUUCUGGUCUCAGGAUGAUGUAGUCGCUGGUUCAUGUGGCCCUUUCUGUCUCUUGGGCUUGUAAUUACCUUGUGUCCUUGGUGUUCUUCAUUCUCCUUUGAUCCAGGUGGGUUGAGACCAAUUGAUGCAUCUUAGAUGGCUGCUUGCUAGCGUUUAAGACCCCAAACACCACUCUUCAAAGUGGGAUGCAGAAUGUUUUCUUAAUAGAUUUUAUUAUGCCAGUUGACUUAGAUGUCCCCUGAAACCAUGGUCCCCAGACCCCUGCCCCUGCUACGCUGGCCUUCGAAGCGUUCAGUUUAUUCAGGAAACUUCUUUGCUUUUGGUUUAGUCCAAUUGGUGAAUGGCAAUCUUUUCAUUUCCCUUGAUGACAAAGGAUCUAACAGUGUAUCUAGCUUUGGAGAACACCAGAGUCUGUCCUGUGAGCUACACCAACACCUUGGCUGCCAGAUCGGUCUGUCUUCCACACAGAUGUUGAGGCAAAGCUUAUGGAGUUCCUGCAUAGGAUUCUGUUUUUCAUCUUGAUCCUAUGCCACGAUGGAGAACAUGAAGAUGGCACCCGGAAUUUUCUUUAAUGAUUAUAAACAGAAAUGAACUUUAACAAAAGCUUUUUCUGUAUUUCUUUGGAUAAUAUGAGUUUUCUCUUUUAGUCUAUUCAUGUGAUAAAUCACAUUUUUAGGAUUUGUUAUUGAAUCAUUCUUGCAUUUCUGAGAUAAAUUCUACUUGAUAAUUAUUUUUUAACAUACUGUUUGAGUCAGUUAACUAGUAUUUUAUUUAGGAUAUUUGUAUAUAUGCACGUAAGUGAGAUGGACUAAUAACAUCCAUUUCAUGUAUUUGCAUUAGGCAGUUUUAGAAUCAGGAUUAUUACAUUGUCAUAAAAUGAAUUUAGGUAGCUUUCACUCUUUUUCUAUUUUUUGAAAAAUUUGUACAAAACAGUAAUUAACUGUUCUUGAAUGUCAGUAGAACGUAUCUGUAAAUUCAUGCGGGUCUAAGAGUUUUGGGAAGAAAAGUCUUUGAUUAACAUUGUAAUUUCUUUAAUGCUUGUCGCUAUGUUCAAGUUUUCUAUUUUCUUUUGACCAAUUUUGGUGUUUAUAUUUUUUUCAGAAAUUUGUCUGUAUCAUCUAGAUUUAUAAAUUUAUUAAUUUAUGAUUACUAAUCAUACUCUUUUAUUAUUAAAAAAAACUCUCAAGUGUCUGUAGUAAUUUUCAUUCUGUAUUUUGUUUAUUUGUAUCUUUUUUUUUUUUUCUUUCCCCCUUGAUCAGUCUACCCAGAGUUCUCUUUCUGUUUCCUCUCAGGUUCAUUGAUUAUAUUUUUCCCUUUAUUUUUAUUUCUUCUCCAUAUAUCUAAUAGAUAGAGCUUGUUAACUAUAUUCUUCAGAUAGCCUGUAUCUCUGCUUAUUGUUUGUCUGCCUGACCCACCAGUGUCUGAGAGAGUAUGUUAAAAUUUCUAGUUCUAAUAGCUGAUGCAUUGUGGAGUUGAAUGCUUUGUUCAUUAGUUUUAGAACUUUUUUGUUUUCUUUAAAUUCAUUUAACACUUUAAAUCUCUAUGUAAAGCUUUUGUUGCAUCCUAGAAAUUUUGACAACUUUCAUUUAUUUUGAAAUAUUUCAUAUUUUUCUAUUAUUUCUUUAACUCAAAGUUUAUUUAUUAGCGUAUAUUUGUUUCCAAACAAAAAUGAGGUUUUAAAAAGCUAUCAUUUAAUUAUUAAUUUCUUAUGUUAUCACAUUACAGUCAUAGAACAUAAACCCAGUCAUAGAACAUAGGCUGUAUAAUAUUGGUUCUUAAAAUGUAUUAACUCUUCCUUUGUAACUUUAUACAUAGUCAUUUUUUAUAAAUGUUUGAUAUGUGCUAGAAAAAAGUAUAUUGUCUGUUCACUAGGUGUAGAACUCUUUCUGUUUUAUUGCACUUUAGGUGAAAGUUUAUAGUUCAAGUUAAUUUCUCAUUCAAAAAUUUAUACACAUAUUGUUUUGUAACAUUGGCUGCAAUCCCAACAAAGUGACAGCAUGCUCCCCCUUUUCACCCCGGGAUCCCUGUGUCCAUUAGUCCAGUUCUGUCCUUCCUGCCUCCUCUUCUUGCUUUUGGACAGGAGUUGUCCAUUUGGUCUCAUAUAUAUGAUUGAACUAAGAAGCACAUUCCUCAUGUGUGUUAUUUUUAUUUUAUAGGCCUGUCUAAUCUUUGUCUGAAAAGUGGGCUUUGGGAAUGGUUUCACUUCUGAGUUAGCAGUGUCGGAGGGCCAUAGCCUUGGGGGUUCCUCCAAUCUCUGUCAGACCAAUGAGUCUGGUCCUUGUUCAUGAAUUUGAAUUUCUUCUACAUUUUUCUCCAGUUCUAUCCAGGGGUCUUUGUUGUGAUCCCUGUCAGAGCAAUUGGUGGAGGUAGCCAGUCACCAUCUAGUUGGGCUCAGGCUGGUGGAGUCUCUGGUCAAUGUGGCCCUUUAGUCCUUGGGGGUAAUAUUUUCCUUGUGUCUUUGAAGUUCUUCAUUCUCCUUUGCUACAGGCAAAAUGGGAUCAAUCGUGGUAUCUUAGAUGGCCAAUCGCAAGCUUUUAAGACCCCAGACACUACUCAACCAAGUGGGAUGUAGAACAUUUUCUUUAUGAAGUAUGUUAUGGCAAUUGACCUAGAUGUCCCCUGAGAUUAUGGUUCCCCAGCCCUAGCCCCAGCUACUUGGUCCCUCAAAGUAUUUGGAUGUGUCUAGGAGACUUCUGUGCUUUUGAUUUGGUCCAGUUGUGCUGACUUCUCCUAUAUUGCGUGUCGUCUUUCCCUGGACCAAAGUUGACACUUUUCUACUAUAUAGUUAGUAAUUUUCAUUCCCCUUCCCUGUCCACUCUCAUAACCAUCAAAGAAUGUUAUUUUCUGUGUGUAAACUUUUCUUGAGUUCUUAUAAUAGUGGUCUCAUACAAUAUUUGUCCUUUUGUGACUGACUUAUUUCGCUCAGUAUAAUGCCCUCCAGAUUCAUCCAUGUUGUGAGAUGUUUUGUGGAUUCAUCACUGUUCUUUAUUGUUGUGUAGUAUUCCAUUGUGUGUAUGUACCAUUAUUUGUUUAUCCAUUUUUCUGUUGAUGGGCACCUAGGUUUUUCUAUCUUUUUGCUGUUGUGAACAAUGCUGCAAUGAACAUGGGUGUGCAUAUGUCUAUUUGUGUGACGGAUCUUAUUUCUGUAGGAGUGGGACUGCUGAAUUGUAUGGUAUUUCUACUUAUAGCUUUUUAAAGAAGCCCGGUAUCAUUUUCCAAAGUGGUUGUACCAUUUUACAUUCCCACUAGGAGUGCAUAAGUGUUCCAAUCUCCCUGUAACGUCGCCAACAUUUGUUAUUUUCUCUUUUUUGGAUUAGUGCCGGUAUUGUUGUGGUGUAAAUGUAGUACUUUUCACGCGUAGAUUAAGCUUGUUAAUUAUUCAGAUCUUCUAUAUCUCUGCUUAUUUUUUGUCUGCUUGAUUCAUUGGUUUCUAAGAGAGAUGGGUAGAUAUUUCCAGUUUCAAUGGUUGGUUUAUUUUUUCUUUCCUAAAUUUGUCAAUUGUUUUUUAAUUGUAAAACGGGAAGAAUAAUAGUACUUUCUUAUAGGGUUGUAAUGAAGGCUAUGAGUUAAUACGUGUAAAGCCCAUGUAGAGCGUGCCUGGCACAUAGAGGGCUCUCAAUAAAGUUAGCUUUGCUGUUUAUACAUGCCCUGGUGGCACAGUGGUUAAGAGCUCAGCUGCUAACCAAAAGGUCAGCAGUUUGAAGCCACCAGUUGCUCCUUGGUAACGCUAUGAGGCACUUGUAUUCUGUCCUGUAGGGUUGCUAUGAGUCAGAAUCGACUCAACAGCAGUGAAUUUUUUUUUUUUUUUUUAAUAUUGCCAAGUGCAUUUAUGAUGGUUAUAUUUUCUUAUUUAUUUUACCAUUAUAUAGCACUUUCCACUUUGUCCCAUAUUUUUUUGCCCUUAAUUUUGUCACACAUUAAAAUCCCAUUUACUUUUUGUUAUUUUUGCCUGGUAAAACUUUUUCCUUGGUUACAGAUUGAGUUCCCAGGGAAGCAGAUUCUAAGGUGGAGAUUAGAGUGCAAGUUUAUCUUUAGUGAGUACUCUUGGGAUCAAAAUUUGUAGGAGGAAGGGAAGGAAGCAAGACUGAACAGAAGAAGAAGAUGGGCUUCAGAGCAGUCACAAGGCUUCAGCUAAUCCUGAAGAAAGCUCUAAAGUAAGGUUAAUGUCCCACCCUUUGGAGACCAAGUGUCUUACCAAGGCAUCUGACAUACUUGCCACUUCUUGCUCAACCUGUUCAGUUUAUAUGAUGUUAUCAACAUAGAAGACCAAUAUUAUGACGUUCUGAGGGAUGCCCAGGUGGCCCAAGUCUCUUCAUAUUAUUUUAUGACAGAAAGUAGAAGA